CUUACUGAUGACCUAUAGAGCAUGUAGGGAAAGAUCUAGGGGAAGGACUAAUCAAUAUUGAGCUUGAGCGACCAUCUCAACAAUAAAUCCAAAAGAGGCAGCAGCAUAUAUCAUGCUACACUGCACCUCAAGGGAGAUCGAAUCCCCAUGUUGAAUAGUAUCCCAGCAACAGCAAGAUCACCCACCCGUUCAAAGACCGACUAUCUUUCCUCGUGAAUGGCGACAAGCACCAGGAUCAACACCUACAGGAAAGAGUAGAUAUUCAGAAGCAUAACAACAACUUCAGCUUCAUAGCUCAACCCAUGGACCGCAAUUUGAAAUCAAAACAACUGUGUUUAUGGCUUCAAAGAUAUCUUCAAGCAAGACCCUUGAAAUGGAAGUGAACCAAGUAGUAGUAACGCUCCAACACCCCACCAACGCCAAACAAUUCCUAACCUAUUUAGUACUGGCCCAAAACCUAUUUUGUAAUUUUUUUCUCUAUUCAUUAUUUAUCAGUAAGAUGAAUUCUUCCCAAAAUCCAAUGAUUGAACUCUCUAGACUAUAAUCUUUUAACUUCCAGAUUACUUUAAAAAAUACGUACUUCUUUAGAUGAAUGUAAACGGAGAAGUUCGCACUUACUGUUUGCUGGUAUUGCAUAAAAUUCUGUUUUUUUAGUGGACACUUACAAGACGUGGAGCAUCAGACAAAAAAUGCCAAUGGUUAGUGGCAGCUUGAAAUAAAACAAGAAACAAACAUGGGGAUGAAGAUUUUAUUGUUGGUGCUUCAUACGAAUGAAACCAC
Molecule: long non-coding RNA, 780 nt
Filed under: Triticum aestivum (bread wheat)
Lineage: Eukaryota; Viridiplantae; Streptophyta; Magnoliopsida; Poales; Poaceae
Description: long non-coding RNA (TAES_LNC008613)
Source: RNAcentral